This 338-nucleotide unclassified non-coding RNA is filed under the name soil metagenome. Its description in RNAcentral is "partial contains 5.8S ribosomal RNA, internal transcribed spacer 2, and large subunit ribosomal RNA". The stretch from base 1 to 120 matches the Rfam family "5.8S ribosomal RNA", at positions 35 to 154 of the family's 154-position model. The record is from RNAcentral.
GAUGAAGAACGCAGCGAAAUGCGAUAAGUAAUGUGAAUUGCAGAAUUCAGUGAAUCAUCGAAUCUUUGAACGCACAUUGCGCCCGGCAGUACUCUGCCGGGCAUGCCUGUUCGAGCGUCAUUUCAACCCUCAAGCCCUGCUUGGUGUUGGGGUCCCACGGCCGCCGUGGGCCCUGAAAGGAAGUGGCGGGCUCGCUACAACUCCGAGCGUAGUAAUUCAUUAUCUCGCUUAGGGCGUUGGGCGGCGCUCCUGCCGUUAAAGAACCAUCUUUAACUCAAGGUUGACCUCGGAUCAGGUAGGAAUACUCGCUGAACUUAAGCAUAUCAAUAAGCGGAGGA